RNAcentral lists this long non-coding RNA (317 nucleotides) under Homo sapiens (human). Its description in RNAcentral is "HSALNT0372923". Lineage: Eukaryota; Metazoa; Chordata; Mammalia; Primates; Hominidae. The record is from RNAcentral.
AAAACCCUGACAUUUUUACUAAGCAACUCACUCGGGACCCAUCUCUUCAAGGGAGAGCUGUUCUUUCUUUUUGCCUAUUCAACUUUGCUCCAAACUCAAGUCUGUGUGUGUAGUGUGUGUUCGCGACCUCCGUCUCCUUGACUGUUCGACCAAGAGCCUUGGUUCCCCAGUGAGGAUGCAUGUUCAGAGGCAGACUCCCCCUCUCACACUUUGGGCACUUAACGGUUUUUCUGCUGUCUCAUGGAGUCUGCAAUGGCAAGCUGCUGCUUUCAAAGGGAGCUGUGGCCAAAAAAGAAACAAGGCAGGUAAGAAAUGGG